Molecule: long non-coding RNA, 1349 nt
Organism: Cyprinus carpio (common carp)
Lineage: Eukaryota; Metazoa; Chordata; Actinopteri; Cypriniformes; Cyprinidae
Exons: 5
Source: RefSeq, a predicted model, not a curated record
AGGUUCAGGUGGUUAGGAAAUUAUGUAAGGAGUGUGGGUUAGAUUCGUCUGGAUCACGAGCUGACCUCCUUGAAUAACUUCCAAAGGUGGUUGGGCUGUAAUUAUGUGCCCAUGCGGCAUUGUGUACAGCAUAAAGUGUAACAUUCGAGCAGAAAGCCCACGUGACUUUGCAGACAUGUUGCUUUCUUGGAAGCACAUGCCAAAUGUUAUCAUAUAUGACUUUGCACGUGGGUUAGCAACCCACAAGAAUCUCAGAGAACCAGAAAGUUUGCCUUUCAAACCCUUUGAAGGACGGUUAAGCCCCCCAGCUCCAGACAACAUAGCCAAAGACAAAGAUGGGAAACUGAAGGUCUCACUACCUUGGCUGAAUUGUAAAAAAAUGAUUCCAGACCCUGAAGGCCAUCCAGUGACUGGUUUAGCAGAGCAUUAUGUUUUGUAUGAUCAGUUCCACGAGGACAAUACGAAAGAUCCCCGUGAUGUCCUGCGGAAGCUUCGCAGGGUCCCACAACUGGCUGGAAAAGUAAACAGUCAAGUUGCAGAACAGCUAUUUUCCAGAAUGAAGAAAAAUAAUUAGGUUUUAAACAUGGCUUUACCUUCAACACAUCUGUUCCUUAUGAGGAAUAUUAUACACCAUCAUAACACGUACAGAAAUGAACAACGUCUAGGGCAACAUAAAAAGGGCUUUUGGAAAUGAUGUCACAAUGAACAGGCACAGCCAGGCAGUGUUGGUAAAGUAUCCCCAGAGAAUGUCUCCACUGUUCCAAUGGGCAUUGAUGUACCAACUGUUUCAGCAGAGCCAGCGCCCAAGACAGCAUCCCUUGACACUCCCAAGGCAGCUCCCAAGACUGCGCCCAAGCCAUCGUUCCUCACUGCGCCAAAGCCAGCACCCUUCGGCUUCUCAAAACUGUGUAAGCCCUGGGAAAAAGAAUUGAAUCCUAUCCAGGACAAACUGCUCAGCUAUGUUCUGGACACGAGACGGCCUGGAGCAGAAAUUAUUAUAAAAGAAGGGCCCAUAUGUCUCACCCGUGAAGAGGUUUGGAGCCUAGGGUUACAAAGAGACAUGGAUUCCCAGGUGCAUAGUGGGAAGUUUGUAAAAAAAUAGGAGGGGAUUAGUCAUUUUUGUAUUUUUUUUUAUUGUAUUUUUUUUUUUUUUAUGAUAUUUGCUUUGGUUGUUUUCUUGUAGAUUGGGAAUGCCUGCUUCAAACUGAUUCAUGAAGAAGCUCAGCAACAUGUAUGUGACAUGUAUAGAAACACAAGAUUAAAGCCUAAACUGUUACUGUAUGCUUUCAUAUCAUUGUCUACUUUCAAAGUAGUUACAUGGUUUCAGUUUUUUUUUUUUUUUUUUUUAC